RNAcentral lists this ribosomal RNA (465 nucleotides) under Vreelandella stevensii. Its description in RNAcentral is "partial 16S ribosomal RNA". It matches the Rfam family "Bacterial small subunit ribosomal RNA", at positions 338 to 795 of the family's 1533-position model. Lineage: Bacteria; Pseudomonadati; Pseudomonadota; Gammaproteobacteria; Oceanospirillales; Halomonadaceae. The record is from RNAcentral.
CCUACAGGAGGCUGCAGUGGGGAAUAUUGGACAAUGGGGGGAACCCUGAUCCAGCCAUGCCGCGUGUGUGAAGAAGGCCCUCGGGUUGUAAAGCACUUUCAGUGAGGAAGAACGCCUGGUGGUUAAUACCCAUCAGGAAAGACAUCACUCACAGAAGAAGCACCGGCUAACUCCGUGCCAGCAGCCGCGGUAAUACGGAGGGUGCGAGCGUUAAUCGGAAUUACUGGGCGUAAAGCGCGCGUAGGUGGCUUGAUAAGCCGGUUGUGAAAGCCCCGGGCUCAACCUGGGAACGGCAUCCGGAACUGUCAAGCUAGAGUGCAGGAGAGGAAGGUAGAAUUCCCGGUGUAGCGGUGAAAUGCGUAGAGAUCGGGAGGAAUACCAGUGGCGAAGGCGGCCUUCUGGACUGACACUGACACUGAGGUGCGAAAGCGUGGGUAGCAAACAGGAUUAGAUACCCUGGUAGUC